RNAcentral lists this ribosomal RNA (774 nucleotides) under uncultured Neocallimastigales. Its description in RNAcentral is "partial large subunit ribosomal RNA". It matches the Rfam family "Eukaryotic large subunit ribosomal RNA", at positions 24 to 649 of the family's 3401-position model. The record is from RNAcentral. Lineage: Eukaryota; Fungi; Neocallimastigomycota; Neocallimastigomycetes; Neocallimastigales.
UAUCUCUGUAGAGUCUGCAUAUCAAUAAGCGGAGGAAAAGAAACUAACUAGGAUUCCCUCAGUAACGGCGAGUGAAGCGGGAAGAGCUCGAAUUUGAAAUCUUCAAGGUUCUACCUUGACGAAUUGUAGUUUAAAGAAGUGUUUUCUGUUGGAGUUUUGGUAAAAGUUCUUUGGAAUAGGACAUCAUAGAGGGUGAGAAUCCCGUAUUUGACCAUUAUUUCCAACUUUGUGAUACACUUUCAAAGAGUCGGAUUGUUUGGGAAUGCAGUCCAAAAUGGGUGGUAAAUUUCAUCUAAAGCUAAAUACUGGCGAGAGACCGAUAGCGAACAAGUACCGUGAGGGAAAGAUGAAAAGAACUUUGAAAAGAGAGUUAAACAGUACGUGAAAUUGUCAAAAGGGAAGCGUUUGACACCAGUGUUGUUUUCUCGAAAAUCAAUUAAAAAUGGCGGGAUUUUGUGUUGUAUUGACUUUAUCAGCUUUCUGCACUUUUUUCCUGUCUUUUUUAAUGCACUUUUCGUUUAACAAGUCAACAUCAAUUUCUUUUGUUGUAAAAGGGUCAUUGGAAGGUGGCUUUCUUUUCGGAGAAAGUGUUUAUAGCCUUUGGCCUCUGCAAUCGGAGAGAUUGAGGUCUGCAGCGUAGAUCCUUCGGGGUUAGAUACAUUUGUGCUAAGUUAUAGCCUUUCAUAGACAACUUGUUGACUAUGAUCAGUCAUGUAGCUUACUCGCUUAUGCUAUUUUACCUACGCUUAGGAUGUUGAGUAGCGACAUACGCAC